UACAGAGGUCUCGAGCGUUCAACGGAUUCAUUGGGCUUAAAGCGUACGUAGGCGGAUGUGCAGGCGUCGUGUGAAAGCCCUCGGCUCAACCGAGGAAUUGCACGGCGAACCGCACGUCUUGAGACAAGUAGGGGCGGUCGGAACGAUAGGUGGAGUGGUGAAAUGCGUUGAUAUCUAUCGGAACGCCGAUGGUGAAGACAGGCCGCUGGGCUUGUUCUGACGCUGAGGUACGAAAGCAUGGGUAGCGAACGGG
This 253-nucleotide ribosomal RNA is filed under the name uncultured bacterium. RNAcentral's name for it is "partial 16S ribosomal RNA". It matches the Rfam family "Bacterial small subunit ribosomal RNA", at positions 524 to 776 of the family's 1533-position model. The record is from RNAcentral. RNAcentral also lists the same sequence under 1 other name.